AGCAUUUCGAAAUGUCAAAAAGCCCCUCUCUUUUUCUUUUCUCCCAAAAUCCCCUCAAUGCACGCAGCAGGGCAGCGUCCUACCAGGCACGUCCGCGGCUCCCUCCCGCGGGGCCCCUCGGCUCCGCUCUGCCCCUCUGCCCCGCUCCGCGGCGCGACCCCGGCUGCAUUGCUCGGUGGCUGCUCGGGCGGGGCGGAUCGCAGGUGCCCGCUCCGCUCCGCGCGGCUCUGCCCUCCCGCCGCCCGCCCCGCCGCUUCCCGGUAGCGGCCGCUGUGGGAAAGCGGGAGCUUUUAUUUUCGGGUUAAGGGAAAAAUAGAAAAGAAAGAAAAAGUAAAAGUGGGAAUUCCCCCGCUCGCCACCGCGGGGAUAAAAGGGCACCGGGCGGCAUCGCAGGAAGAGAAACGACGGGAACGGCAGCGUGAAGCGGAGCGGCGGAGCCCGGCUGGGCGCAGGUGGUGCGGUGCGGUGCGGUGCUGUGCGUUCGGUUGGAAGGAUGCUACAAAGACCAGAGAAUCACAGAAUCAUAGGCGUCGGAAGGGACCUCUGGUGAUCAGCUAGUUCACCAUCCUGCUAGAGCAGAAUCCCUACAGGAGGUGAUCAAGUUCAACUCCUGACCAAUUCACGGCUUGCUGAAAUCUAAUGCAUGCUAUUGAGGGCAUUAUCCAAAUGCCUCAGAAAUACACUACAGAACUUCAAAUGGACCAUCCAGACUUUCUGUUAGUGCUCCCAUUCCCUGUUCAUACAGUUGUGCAACACACUCAGCAGUGGUGGCUGGUACUGGGCAGGAUGUGGGCCUGCUCCCUGGGAAAGGAUGUGGACCUGAUCCCUAGUCAGGAUGCAGACCUACUCCCCAUGGCAAGAUACAGACCUGUUCUCCAGGGCAAGAUACAGAUCUACUCCCAGCCACUGGGGCUUCUGCACGUCUACACUUGGGUAUGACAGCAAUCUGCACUGGCUUUGCCUGUUGGUGAGAAGCAGCUUACUCUCCACGUUACUGCUAUGAAGGACUUUGGUGUAGCUGUCCUGAUAAUUGUGUGGAAGUAUCUGAGCUGCUUGAUGGCUGUUUGGUGCCUUACAGAAGAGUGCUGUGAAUGGGAGAAAAAAAUACCACAGCCAAGAUAAGUGAUGGAAAGCCUGCUUCUGCUUCAACAAGCCAUAAAAGAAAGAAGAAACUGGGGAAGGGAAACUGCCACCAAUUGUGUUUCAGUACAGAGAAAGAAAGGAAUUUUUACAGUGAUGGUAAGAUCUACUAAUAAUCAUUGGGCAAACAAAAAGGACUUCAGCAUUUGCCAGUGGCGUUGAUACAAUCAGAAACUUUAUAAGAGUGGUUUGAAGAUGUGAACGUAAAAGUGUGUGAAAAGUGGAUGCAAGUAAUAACACUGAAUAUAGGUAAUCUGAAAAUUUGAAAUGAAUAAUUCAGAAUGAUUUAAACAACAACAACAGAAAGAACAACAAGAGCAUUGAAUAGGAAAAUGGUAAAGGAAACAGUUUUUCCAAAAGGAGAUAAGGGAAUACAAGAUUUUCUGGAAUGUAUCAAGAGUGACUCAAUAGAUUACUUUAGUGUUUUCAGAAAUGAAAGAGGAUGAAUAUGCAAAAGCUUAAAAGGAUAACAAAAACUGAAGCUGAGUAUUAUUUGUUAGCCUUGAAUUCACUGGCAUACUCAUUAGUGAGUAUUAUUGAAAAGCAUGGUUUUAAAAAAAUAGCUCAAUAGCCAAUGACUGUAAAACUCUAUAAAGUACAUAUUUAGUGAAUAACCUCUAAGGUAACAUGAAAUUUUUUAAUGAUUAGUGAAGACAAUUUUAAACUAAAAAGCCAGCUUGUCUGAGGCUCAUCACAAUAGGCAGAUUGCUGGUAAAGAUGUAUAAAAUUACUUCUUUGUUUUGUUUGGAAAUAUAUUUCUUUGUUUAAAUGCCUACUGCAAAUUGGGGGAAAAAAAAUCUGAAUAAAGUGAAAAUAAAUGAUGGGCCAAAUGAAUGCCUGAGUAACUUCAAGGUUAAGUGAAUUUGCACGCUUUUCAUGAAAAACUCUGGUCAGUUUUAAGUAUAGAGCUAUGACUAAUGCCACCACAGAGUUUAUGAAUGCGUUUGUACAUCCUUUUUUGAUGUAGAGUAUACUUUUUUCAAGACAACAUUUGCUUAACUGUAGUAACAGAAUGUUGUAACGUAGGAGUACGGCACAGGCCUGUUGAUUUUGUACUACGUUACUUUAUAUCUUUUGAAUCAGAGAAUGUUGUAGUAAAGCAUGGCGUAUUUAUCCAAUAUGGGUAUUUUCAUGUUUGUGUUUCUAAAAAAAAUGAUUUCACACUUUAAUUAAUGCAGUAAAUUCUUUUUCUAUUUUUUUUAAAUUAUCUAAUUAAAAGAUAAUUUCACAUUAUUUCAGAGUAUUCCUGACUCUUUUUUUUUUUUUUUUUUUUAAUAGAAAGCAGAUAAAGGUCAAUUUAUUUAAAAUGAUUGAAAUUUCAAGUAGUAUACACACAGUGUGAGCUUGGAAAUAAUUUGACUAAUUACUAUUCAAUCUGUGAUCUUAAUUGUACAAUUUUCUGAUAAUAAUAAUUAAAAAGGUUCUAAAUAGCAAAAAACCUGCACAGUUAGCUAAAUCAGUUUUUCACAAUUACUUCUUGUAUAUAAGUGGAUCAGAAUGAGGAUUUCUUUCACUUUUCGGAGGAGCAUAUGCAUAACUGUGUGCUAUUGAUUUGGUAUAACUUUCAGAUCUUUCAAAGCUUGAUAGAAGGAUACUAACUACAGUAAGUUGUGAAAAUGUGGUAGUUACAUCUUUUUAGUGGUUUUAAAUUGGCAGAGGGCAGAUUUAGACUAGAUAUUAGGAAUAAAUUCUUUUCUGGGAGGGGUGGUGAGACACUGGAACAGAUUGCCUAGUGAGGCUGUGGAUGCUCCCUCUCUGAAAGCUGGAAUUCAAGGCUGGAUGGGGCUGUGAGCAACCUGGUCUGGAGGGACACAUCCUUGCCUAUAGCAGGGGGUUGGAACUAAAGGUCCCUUCCAACCCAAACCAUUUUAUCAUUCCAUGAUUCUGUGAUGUGUGGAGACAGUGAGAGCCUUGGGGAUCUGAGUGGGCUGAGGUGCCCAUGGGGUGGGGAUGUGGCGUUGGCCUCCAUGCAGCACUGGUGAGGUCACUAUUGGUACUAAAAUCCAGGCACAAGGCUCAACACUUUGGUGUGUUAAGAGGUUGUUUCCACUUUUCUCCAAAUUUUUGUGCAGUUCUACAUUUACCACGUUCUUUUCCUGUGGUUUUUUUUUUUUAAGUUAUCAAAGCCUCUCCACUUUUUGAAUCCAUGAUGUUUGUGAAGUCAAAAAUAAAAAGUGUGAAAUAAAAGGUUUGCUUAUUCUAGAAUAUAUUCAAAGUGAUGAAAGGUUGUUGUUUUUCUCUCACAGAUGUUUAUUAUCAAAAUUGGCUCCUGCAGUAGAUAAUCAUGUAGUUUCAAUGGUUUCAGACUUCAGAACUAAGGAAAAACAGAUAUUUUCUUCUCUGCAGGAGUCCUGGAACUCAACUGCAUCCUCUAAAGUUGUAAAUGACAGCAUAUGAUAGUUGCCAUAGUUGCCACAGGAGCAUAAGUUUAAAAGCUGUAUCCUUAAAAGAUCUUUAGCCCAUGGGGAGAAACAUUUGUCAAAUGAGUUCUAAAUUCUAGGGUGUUCCUAUUGAAUAUCUGACAUAUAUGGUAUAGAACUUCCUGUUUUAUCAAAUCCUUGCAAUGUGAAUUGUUUAAAACUUGCCCUGUCUAUAAAACAGUUAGAUGUGUUAAGGUUCUGAAUGGGACAGAAAGCAUAGGUGUGCCCCCUCUGAACCAUUCAAAUCAUAUUAAAAUUUCCAGUUCUGUCUAGACUACAGCUUUUUAAGCUUCUAUAUUCCCUGGUUAUAAUGUAGGCAUUGAGCCAGCAAGAUUUGUGUCUGGUUAGCAGCACAGGUUGAUCGAACUGAAGAAGGGAAGCCCAGAGGUAUCCUGUUCAUGGAUUGCUAUCAGUCUUGUGUAUUGGCUCUGUAAAACUAACUGCCAUGGGCAGUACUAUUUAGCAAUACAGUUAUCUUUUUGGAUCAGUGGAAGAUACCAUCCCAUGUACUACCAUAGCUCUUUUACUCGACUAAGCUUCCACUACAUUUUCUGGAUUACAAGGUAAGCGCUAUCACUGCUGCACACUGCUGAGAAAGAUAAGAAAAGAGGUUUUCACAUUAAUUUCAACAAUAUUGAUCAUUUAUGGUGUUAAACGGCACCAGGUAUUCUUAAUAUUUUCAUACUAAUUCUGUCUCAGGUAAAAGAAAGGGCACUUUAAAAGCUGAAUAUUGCGAGGUCAUAAAGCACUGCUGGCAGCAGAGCCAUUUCAGGAACUGUAACUAUCAUUUGGGAAUAUGCUUUUAUGCUUUCCUAUAGCAAAUAUGUUGAUUGUUCCUGGAGCCUUCAUGGGAAAACAAACGUCAAGUGAUUUAGCUCAAGUCUGCAAAAAAGUUACUUUUUUACUUUUUUGUUGUUUUGAGUACCAUAAAAAUAGACUUGAACCGAAGGUGUUUCAAAAGUUCUAGCCAGUAUUUCCCUGACCUUGCUGCAGGUGCUGUUCUUCCUUGGGUGCCUGCCAGAAUCCAGCAGCAAUAGUUUUGCAGCACAUGCUCUACUAGAACCUUGCACCAAUCUGAGGAAUGUGCAAGUUCAUGGUGUUACUUGGACACGCAAUCGUACAUCAGCUGCGUUACCAGAAUGCUGAUGCAUCGCCUGGGCAAAGGGCUUUUUUGCAGUUAUCACCUGCCUGGGUUGCUGCCCCUGGGAGCUGUAUUGCAAUAACAUCAGCCCCAUAAAAUGCCAAGGUGUUGCUGCAGGGAGAGGUCUGGCAAACUGUAAUUUCCUAAGUGGAGAUGAGUUUGUUAUGGUGAUAAAUCUUUUUCUCAUAACUGCUGCCCACCAUCAGUGAUUUUGAGAAAUUUCUGUUGAUCCCUCAAGUCUCUCUGGAAAAAAAAAAAAAAACAACAAAAAAAACCAGUCUCAACAGUAUGGGAAAGAUAACCUGGCAAAGCUUCUGGCAUGUCCUUUGGGUUUGGUUGUUUUGUUUGUUUGUUUGGGUGAGGGGAAGGUUGUUUUUUUGAGGGGGAUGGUUUUUUUUCCUUUGAAAGCAGUGCCAGUGUUUUGUGGGCAAAGUGUUAACUUGCCUUUUUUUCUUUUUACACUCGGUAAUUUGCAUAAAAUCUAUUAUUAUUGGCACCCCAAGAGACUUUUAUGAUAGUGUGGAGAAGAAGGGACUACAGAGAAACAUAGCCAAAGAUAGCUGAAGAUGUGGGCGUGUCAUAUGUGAUAAAUUUGUCAGCAAUUAAUUUCUUAAUGAGAGGCAUAACAAAUAGAGGAAUCCCCUUAAGAUGUGCUAUUGGAAAUCCCAUAUGUAUUUUGAUUUCUUGAAUGCUCUUCUGGGAACAGAAUUAACAUUAAAAUGCAUGUUAUUCUGCCAGUAAUUUGGGCUGAAAAGCAACUCUUUGUAUUUUUCUUCCAUUCACCCACACCCUUGAAGCAUUUUGGCAGCAAUAUCAGUAGGACAGUCACUCCUCUGAUAUCUGAUGCUUUGCACUGCAUGUUUGGGGUUACAGUGCCUUAACAGCAGAGCUGAAGCCAGAUGCAUCCUCCAGCUUAGGGAGCAAUUCCUGUCACUCAUAUGGUCCAUAUGAUUAAAUGCCUCUUGGUCCUUUUAGGAAACCAUUUGCUGUCCUGCAGUGUUCUCUCAUUCACACACACUUCUGUGUCUCUCCAUUUAAUGUGUCUCUUCCUCUGCUCAGCCUGCUGUGUGCCGUAAUGCGGAAGAGCAGACCAAACUCACAGUGAUUUAUGAGUGCUUCAUGGAUAGAAGCCAAGGCUGCUGCAGGCUCUGGUAACUUUAGUAACAAAAUACUAAGGAAACAUUACCGAAUUUUCCAGCUCCCAGGUUGAUCUCAAUUAGAAAGCAUGUUAUGAUGAGUUCUAUCCUUAGUCUCUUUUAGCACUAACAGGGUUAAAUAGCAAAGUGAAAGGACAUUCUUUUCAUUUUCUACCAUGGAGGCACGACUGGUAACUGUGAUGACUGUAUAUCUUAGUAGGUGAAAAAUGACCAACCCUAGAUGAGCAAACACUGGCAGAGAACAUAGAAGCAGACACAUAAUUCACAGGCCAGACAGCAGGAGAUAAGGCACUGCAUAUGAAUUAAGAGGAUGUGGGUGUGAGAGCAGCACUGAAAGAGGGGAUUUAACUGCUUCUCUGAAGGUGCAAUUACACAAACAGCGCUUCUGGCUGUAUCUUAUCUAUAGAUACCACUCAAUAGCAGAAAUUGGUAAAAAUAAAAAAAUAAAAAAAUCCACACACAAAAAAUAUGUGGAAAUAGCAAGCUUGCUUCCAGACAAAAUAAAUGACAAUCAUCAGUUAAAAAUACCUAUAGAUAACAUCUGCCUUUUAAGUAAGCAGUAUAGUUCUUGUUUCUUUCUCAGAAUGUGUGUUUUGGUUCACAUUUACAGACAUUUUCUUUUGUUUUUGACAGACUUUUCAGCAUGUUCUUUCCAAAACAUGGAUUCUGGGUAACUAUUGUCUAGCAAUGUCAGCUGCCUCAGUGUACCUUAGUUAAAAUAGUUACCUCAGUGUACCUUAGGUUAAAAUAGUCCUUUUUCCUUUAGUUGUCUUGCAUUAAUAUCCUCAAUAUCCAGUAAUAUCCAGUGAGGCAACCUGUGCAAUGCAGGGUCAGCAUCUGAAGCUGUAGAGAGCUCCUGGAUGUCUGAGGACACAGACUCAGGGAGGCUCCUAUUCCCUCAUUUAUAUAUUUUGCUUUUUAAAGAAGAGAUUUAUAUUUCCUGCGUAAAAAUUUUUGUUCUCCCAAAGUCACAAACCUCCAAGCAAAAAUGUUUUAUUCCCAAGGCUCAGGCAUGAUCUGAGGGACAAUUUAUGAGUAAGACACACAUUGUUCAUACUUCAGCUUGCCAAGCUCUGGGCCAUUUAGGCGAGCUUUGUGGAAGCAGCUGAUUGCACUUUAGGUUUGUAAGGACAGUCUGGGUUUCCUGCAUAUCUAUCUAAUUUAGCUGCCCUUAAUGAUCCUGUACAUAUGUCCUGGUGUAGUAAUACUGUAUUACAAGCCAUCUAGCUUUUAUGCUGAAGAAGCAUGCAAUCACUGUGACUGUUGAAAUAAAUCUUUGUAAAACUGGGCAGGAGUUUUUCAUACUAGAUUUCAAAAUAAAUUGAACUCCUUCAGCAAAGCUUUCUCUGUAAUCUUGAGAAAGUUAGGGUGAUCCUAUAGGAAUAUUUUGUUCCACAGGCUUUGUUUGAUCAUUUAAGUAACUCUAUAGGCCAGUGCUCAGAUAUAAUUUUCUGGCUUUUUUUAUUUUUAUUUUUUAUUGUAGUAAUACUUUCCAUCUGGAUACACUUAGAUUGUCUGGUUCUAAUUUAGCCAAAUGACAAACAAACACAUUCUUAAGUGACUAGCUCUCCAUUCAAAAGUCUCAUAGCUUAGUUUUCCGAAUUAUGCAUGUGAACUAUUCGAUUUUUUUUGUAGCAUGACUAACAUUAGAUUUUACAAAUUAUUUAUAAAGCAGACAGAAGUGACUGCAUAAAACAUAAUUUUCACGUAUAAACAUAGGACUUUCAGUCAAGAUCUGCUAUUCUAGCAUUUAACUGCAAAUAGGGACUGACUGCAGUGUUUCCUACACAGAAAAAUGUACAGAUAUAAUGCUGGCUGAAUCAUAGAACCACAGAAUAGUUUGAGUUGGAAGGGACCCUUAAAGGUCAUCUGGUCCAAAUCCUCUGCAAUGAACAGGGACACCUACAAUUAGAUCAGGUGUUCAGAGCCCUGUCCAGCCUGACAAUUAAUGCCUCUAAGGAGUGGGGCAUCUACCACCACUCUGGGCAACCUGUUCCAGUGCCUCAGUAUCCUCACUGUAAAACACUUCUUCCUCGUAUCCAAUCUAAAUCUGCCCCCUUUUCAUUUGAAACCAUUUUCCCUUGUCCUGUCAAAACAGAUCCUGCUGAAGAGUCUGUCCCCUUCUUGCUUACAGGCACCCUUUGGAUACAGAAAGGCCGCUAUCAAUCUACUCUGAACAAUCUGAACUCUACUCUGUCCUAUUGUGCUCCUUCAUUUCAUAGAUGGGAGGGAAAGCAUGAGCAACACAAUAAAUUCCAGAGCCAAGUGUGUUCAUUCACCUGAAUGAGAUGAUUUCAACACAAUUUUGCAACAUGUAUAUAUACAGCGUUUUGUAUCUUCCAAUCACAGUGCUUUUGUUUGUACUACUGAGAUACUCAUGUCCUUGAGGAGCAGUAAAAUCAGCACAGUCCCUCCAUAGCUCUAUAUGUACUCUUACCAUGAAUUCUGCUUAUGGAAGAGUUACUGUUCCUGGAGUCGACAGAGCAGGGAACUCAUUGUGUAAACAGUUAACAUCUUGCCUACAGGUAUGAAGCAGAUCAAUCCCCCAGCUCCCAACCUGCUUGCUAGAGCUCUGUGAAUCAGCAGAGCCCUGUUGCAAGGUUUCAGACUUUCAGAUUUCAUUGCCAUUCAAUGUAACAUUUAAGUGCAUUUCAGACCCUGCAUUUUAAACCAGCUCUAAGUACAAUUUAGGGAUCUAUGCAACUGCACUUAAAUUUAAAUUCCAUUAUGUGACUGAAUAAUUUAUAAGUGUGUACAGAAAAGGUUAAUUGAUGGUAACCUUACUUCUUUGGAUGUCAGAAGUAUUUCAGCAUUUCCUGAUGAUCUGAUUAUCUCUUGAAAUGUCUUAAAUUUUCUUUUCCAGGUUUGCUUCAGCCUCAUUCAAUUUCACCUCUCUCAGUUUUGGGAAGACGAUUCUGUCAUUUCUGUACAUGCUUUAUAAGACAUUAUGAGUGUGAGCAUCACUGCUUUGUAGAGGGAGGACACAAAGCAGAGAAAAAUCAAGUAACUUUUAAAAAAGUAUACAAGAAGUCAUUAAAAAGUAAGACUGAAUGUUUUUGAAGACUUUGUCAGCCAGGGACCUGCAUGGGAGAGGAGGGAAAUUUUGACAGCUGUGGUUAUGGCUAAAAGAUUAUACCCAUAAUGGGGAAGAUAGGACUAGAUGAGAGAUGGUUUAGUAUGCAUGGUUGUUCUGGGUUGGUGGUUGGACUAGAUUAUCUUAGAAGUCUUUUUAAAUCUUAAUAAUUCUAAGAUUCUAUGAUUAUAUGCCUUUCUCCAGUCCCUACUGCCACAGCCUCGAAUAAUUAUGUAUAAAUGUCCAUUUGUUUUAAAUUACUUGUAAAAGUACAUUCCGUAAUGCUCUUUCUCAAUAUCAUUACAAUGCUCAGAUCUUAUUGUGACUUUGAACAAGCUCACAGGGUAACAUUUAUAAAGUAUAAUGCUUUCAACAGCUUUGCUUUUAUGUCUGCUUUUAGCCACUUUGUGCAGUCACAGAAAAUAUGGAAUAGCUGCUAAGACAUCAGAGAUGGUUACCUUUUCAUUCUCUUUGUAAUGUAUCUUUCUUGUAAAACUAAGUCUUCUGAAUGAUAAUGGCAAAAGUUGUAUUUGAUGUCUUGUAUGUAAGGAUAUUAUGUGCCAAGAGUAGUAGCAUCUGAGUAGGGUUUCCUUGCUUUUCAAUAUUUCAGAUGCUCAUUUUCUAGUCUUCAUGCUUACGUUGUGCUGCAGGAAAUGCUCGUAUUAUGCUAGAUAAAUGAAUGAGACCAGGCAGGGCACAGAAUCAAUUCUAAUAGUUUCAUGAUAGGCAAAAAGACAAAGACUGCUUUAAUCAAAUCUCCCCACACAAGUAAGCACUAUUUAAGCUGAAGUUAAAUAGACCCAAGCUGAGGUGCACAAAAUGGCAGACUUAAGCUCUUACAGUCACUCUUAAAAGAAAUCAGUUCUGCAUCUGAUCAUAUCUAAGUGAUCAGAUCUAAGUUAGAUUUUCCUUCCCAUUCCAUUUGUUAUCCUCUUUAAUAAUGAACACUUGUUUAAUGAUGAUUUUAGGGAUCUGUACAGACUUUGCCUCUUCUUACUGUCCCAACUAUACAAUAUAAUUGCAUUGCACCUUACAAGUGCUGCUGGGGACAAUUUAUAUAUAACAUGAAAACUGUAAGAAUUGUCUAGCAUAUACUCACAGUAUACCUACAUGAAUGUCAGUGUGCCCACUAAGGACUUAAAUGAAACUGUAGAUACAAUAAGUUGCAAUAUCCAUGUAUAAGUGUUUAUUCUAUGUCAGCUAAAUUCACUGUCAGGAUCAAUAGUUUCAUUUCAGAGAUUUUUAAGACUGAGAUGUGAUAAUUAAUCUAACAAAAGGUGUCUUUCGGCAGAGCUAAAGCUACAAAUAGAUGUUAUGAAGGCUUAAAAGAUCUUAACAAUAGUUGCUAAUCUAAACACUGGGUGUUAAAUUAAGCCAAAAUACAGUGUUGAGUCAUUACAGUCAUCAGCUUUGUUCAAUUGAAAACAGAAUGCUAGUUUAUAUUGAAAGAAAAAUAAUGAGAGAAGAAAAACAAUUUACAUGUUGGCAGAAUGUUUUUGAAAGAUAUUUUAAUAAUAAAACCAGCUUGGUCUGAAUGGUCUAUAAUAUGUGACAACUGGAGAUGCUGAGUAAAAAUAAAUUUAGAUUGCUUACGUUCAGAAAUGUGGGCAAUUGAAACAGAUGGUUUACGUGAGAGAUCAACCAAGAUCUCAUAACAGUGAGUUAAGGAGAAUAGAAGUGCAUCUAACUUUAGCUAACCCAGCCCAAAAGAACUGUGUGAAACAGACAGGAGUAAAUCAUGCCUUUGGAGGUGUUUGGCUUCUGCAUUGACUAGAUAAUGAACUUUAACUACUAAUUUCUGUAGUUAGUAACAGUAGUGAUGGUUGCAUACAGUUAGAGGUAAUUAUAUUCAUCAAUAAAAAUCCCUCUACACUCCUCCCACUGUGCUACCUGCUGUAGGAAACCUGUGUUAGCAGGGGGAUUGGACUGAGAUGGUAUCCAAAGGUCCCUUCCAACCCUAAAAUUCUGUGACUUUGUGAUUUUUAAAUAGAUUUAGACUUAUGUGGUUACAGAUAAGUGUCUACAGAUGCAAAUAGGAAGUGUACUUUUGUGUGGAACAAGUUAUACAUUUACAUUUCUCUUUCUGCAUGUGGAAUAUCCUGGUCACACGUGAGCAGAAGUGCUUUGCUUCUGUAGGGAUCCAAGUCACGAUGUGUAACUGAUACUGCACUGAAACACAAUAUCAAGUAGUACUCUUCUCUGUCCUCAGCUUUUCUUCCUGAACAGUUGGCUUGAUUCAGCCUACUUAAUUAAACACUUCCUUGGAAAACAAGAUAAGCAUUGUAAUUACAAUUCUAUCAUGAAAUCAUGGUCUUCAGAUUAGGAAAUCUAAACAUUCCCCAAUAAAAGACAACAAAAAAUCAACUUUUGUUAUUUAAAAUUAAGAGGAAACUCCAUGUGGUGGAAUAAACAAAAGCUAACAAGCUAAUUACAAACUGAAAUAUACUUUUGACAGUAUGAAAAUUCCAAACAAUCAGUUCCAAAUGUUAGAAAUGCGACUAAUGGUUGAAAUAGCAACAAUCAAGUUUUACUCACUUAUGCCAACCUUAAUUUCCUACCCUGUAAAUCACAGACGAAUCUCAUAAACAAGAGAACCACUAGAGAUGUGAUUAAUGAGUUUUUACAAAUAUGGUGGUGCUGGCAGACCAAUUUUUGACAAUAUGGAAAAUGUGGGGAAUAAAAAACCAAAAAGAUCUUUCUCAAUAUGAAUGAAGAGUGGGAAUAUUUUUUCUUCCCAAGUGGGGUAAAAUAGCCUUGUGGAGGUUGCUGCACAGGAGCUACAUUGCAGCCAUCUCCUGCAAUGCUCCUGUGGCCGUUGUCAGAAUUUGUUAUACUCCAUCUGCCAAUCCAUGGUGCUGCUGCUUCAGCUGUGCACCAUCCUAGCAAAGCUUCUGAAGCAACUGGUCGGCUUUAUCCACAGGAUUUCUGCAUUACAGUGUACAAAGCAGUCCUUUGGCCACCCACAGUCAUCUUCUGCUCUGAUCUCACCACAAUUGUUCCAUGCAAUGAUUCCAAGGAGAACAGCUGGUGGUUUUACCUGAACCAAGCACUAGCACCCAUGCCAUUUAGAGAGAUUGCCUUUGCAAAGCCAGUUUUGGGAAUAACGUUGCUGCAGUGACAGUGGAAACAUCACCUGAAAAAUUAUCUUAUGAACUGUUAAAUCUGCUUGUGUGUAUGAAAUGCCACAUGGCAACAAUUAAGUUGUUUUUAGAAGUGUGAAUCACCAGUACGGAAUUGGUACUGAUGAGUCUGUAAGAAAUGGUUUGUUGAUGUGAACCUUAUUUUCAAACAGUAAAGCAUGCUACUUAAGAAGUGUUUUUACUGAAGUAUUGAAGAAAUCUGCUGUUUUUCUUUGGAAUAAAGGUUGGUUUUUGUUGUUGUUUGUUUUUUGACUGGCUGAUUGUUAAUGUAUGCUGUAAGUGAUGUGGUUUAAAAUUAUGAUUAAAUUGAUUUUUAUACCUGAGUUUUCUUGAGCACUUCUGAAAAGUCAUAUGUAUGUCUGUCUUUGACAAUGAUUUUUUUUUCCUUUUUUUUUUUUCUUAGCUGAGUUGUAAGAUGAAAUAAAUCAUAAUUUGAGAAGCAGACAGGUGUCUUAUCAGAACAUAUAUAAGUGCAAGUGAUGUUCUCCACAGAUUUCUAAACAACAUGCUACCACUGAACCAGCAAGUGGCCCUUGUUCUGACAGCUCUGCUUCAAGAACGACAAUUUGAACUGGUGACAUUGAAUGCCAGUGCUGCUGAAAAACAAAUAAGUAUUGCAAGAAAACAAAGCUGCAAGACAAUCAAACAAAAAAGUUCCAUAAAUAUUGGUGUCUCUUAUUAUCAGGGAAGGCUGAAUUUAAUGCAAGCCAUUAAUUAUGAUUCCAGUCACUUUGGAGAAGUUUCAAAGCUGUUUUUCAGCUGUUUUCAAACCCUGAUCCUGAUCAAUCUAAUAUAAAUUCUAGUCCAAACCGUCUUCAGCAAAAUGCCAUUAAACCAUUUCAAUCUGUUAAAUACUAUUUUUAAAUCAUUAACUAUCACAAAUAUUCACACUCUCCCUAUCACAGACCACAAAAUGAACCCAAGUAAAUUCAAGGGACUGGAGGAAAACAAUUUGCUUUCUGGUGCCCAGAAGUGUGACUGGGCUCAUGUAUUUUGCAGAAUACUGGACUAAAUACAGGACUUCCCUUCUUCAAACAUACUUUAGAGUGUAAUCAAAACACAAUUCUGAAGAUAUGCUUGUAUGUUGUGAAGGUUAUAGAGCAGAUUGUCUUGAAUGCAAUUACACAGCAUGUGCGAGACAAUCAGGGGAUCAAGCCUAGCCAGCAUGGAUUCAUGAAAGGCAGGUCCUUCCAAUUUUGUCUCCUUGUGACCCACCUGGAGGAUGAGGGAAAGGCUGUUGAUGUAGUCUACCUAGACUUCAGCAAAGCCUUUGACACUGUCUCCCACAGCAUCCUCCUGGGGAAGCUGGCAGCCCAUCUUCAUGAAAUCCUUGUUUGUAUACAGCAGGCUUCUUAAAUGCUAUCUUCACCUGAAACUGUGUUCCAAUCUAACACAGAAAUCACAAGAGUUUGAGUGAUGACCCUGUGUUUAAUCUUUACUUUGAUUGCCUUCUAUACAGUGGCAUCAAUGGGGAAAAAGACAACAAUAUUCUGAAGGCAUUGACAUAGGUUGAAUUAAUUUACUGUCUCACUUCAACCUAUAGUACUUGGAAGAAAUAUUAAUGUGGGAUUUUUAUCUGUUCUCAAUGUGAUCUUUGUCAGGAGUAUGAGAUGUCUGAAACAAGUUAAUUAAAGAAUCUUUAAAAAUAUAUUUCCUUCUGAAACAGAGCUGAGAAAGCUGUCACAUUAAAUAGCAUUUCUUUUAUUCUAAAUUUGCCCCCUGGUUAUGCUUGAUACCGCAAUCUUUGAGUUUUGAAGCUCUGACUAAGCACCUCACUAGAAAGGCAUGAUAAAAACAGUUUAUGAACCUAUUUUACCAAAUGACUUUUUGCAAGGAUAACUGCUCCAUAUAAAAAUUAAAACAAAACAAAACAAACAAAAA
Long non-coding RNA from Tympanuchus pallidicinctus (lesser prairie-chicken), 13952 nucleotides. RefSeq lists it as uncharacterized. NCBI's taxonomy places the organism in Eukaryota, Metazoa, Chordata, Aves, Galliformes, Phasianidae. The transcript is spliced from 5 exons. The record is from RefSeq and is a predicted model, not a curated record.